RNAcentral lists this ribosomal RNA (832 nucleotides) under uncultured Pseudomonadota bacterium. Its description in RNAcentral is "bacterial SSU rRNA". It matches the Rfam family "Bacterial small subunit ribosomal RNA", at positions 57 to 867 of the family's 1533-position model. The record is from RNAcentral. Lineage: Bacteria; Pseudomonadati; Pseudomonadota.
GCAAGUCGAACGCGAAAGGGGAGCAAUCCCUGAGUAGAGUGGCAAACGGGUGAGUAACACGUGGGUGACCUGCCUUCGAGUGGGGGAUAACGUCCCGAAAGGGACGCUAAUACCGCAUGACAUCCUGCUUUUGGAAAAGCGGAAAUCAAAGCUGGGGAUCGCAAGACCUGGCGCUUGAAGAGGGGCCCGCGCCUGAUUAGCUAGUUGGUGAGGUAAUGGCUCACCAAGGCUACGAUCAGUAUCCGGCCUGAGAGGGCGGACGGACACACUGGGACUGAGACACGGCCCAGACUCCUACGGGAGGCAGCAGUGGGGAAUUGUUCGCAAUGGGCGCAAGCCUGACGACGCAACGCCGCGUGGAGGAUGAAGAUCUUCGGGUCGUAAACUCCUGUCGAGCGGGAAGAACAGCUUCGGAGUGAAUAUCUCUGGAGCCUGACGGUACCGCUAAAGGAAGCCCCGGCUAACUCCGUGCCAGCAGCCGCGGUAAUACGGGGGGGGCAAGCGUUGUUCGGAAUUACUGGGCGUAAAGGGCUCGUAGGCGGCCAACUAAGUCAGACGUGAAAUCCCCAGGCUCAACCUGGGAACUGCGUCUGAUACUGGAUGGCUUGAAUUCGGGAGAGGGAUGCAGAAUUCCAGGUGUAGCGGUGAAAUGCGUAGAUAUCUGGAGGAAUACCGGUGGCGAAGGCGGCAUCCUGGACCGACAUUGACGCUGAGGAGCGAAAGCUAGGGGAGCAAACGGGAUUAGAUACCCCGGUAGUCCUAGCCCUAAACGAUGAAUGCUUGGUGUAACGGGUAUCGAUCCCUGUUGUGCCGAAGCUAACGCAUUAAGCAU